RNAcentral lists this ribosomal RNA (311 nucleotides) under uncultured bacterium. Its description in RNAcentral is "bacterial SSU rRNA". It matches the Rfam family "Bacterial small subunit ribosomal RNA", at positions 97 to 414 of the family's 1533-position model. The record is from RNAcentral.
GGCGGACGGGUGAGUAAUGUAUCGGAACGUACCCAGUCGUGGGGGAUAACUAUCCGAAAGGAUAGCUAAUACCGCAUACGUCCUGAGGGAGAAAGGCGGGGGAUCGCAAGACCUCGCGCGAUUGGAGCGGCCGAUAUCGGAUUAGCUAGUUGGUGAGGUAAAGGCUCACCAAGGCGACGAUCCGUAGCUGGUCUGAGAGGACGACCAGCCACACUGGAACUGAGACACGGUCCAGACUCCUACGGAGGCAGCAGUGGGAAUUUGGACAAUGGGGCAACCCUGAUCCAGCCAUUCCGCGUGAGUGAAGAAGG